GAUGAACGCUGGCGGCGUGCUUAACACAUGCAAGUCGAACGGAAAGGCGCUGAUUUUGUUGCGUGCUCGAGUGGCGAACGGGUGAGUAACACGUGAGUAACCUGCCCUUGACUUUGGGAUAACUUCAGGAAACUGGGGCUAAUACCGGAUAGGAGCUCCUGCUGCAUGGUGGUGGUUGGAAAGUUUCGGCGGUUGGGGAUGGUCUCGCGGCUUAUCAGCUUGUUGGUGGGGUAGUGGCUUACCAAGGCUUUGACGGGUAGCCGGCCUGAGCGGGGUGCCGGACACAUUGGGACUGAGAUACGGCCCAGACUCCUACGGUAGGCAGCAGUGGGGAGUAUUACACAAUGGGCGGAAGCCUGAUGUAGCAACGCCGCGUGCGGGAUAACGGCCUUCGGGUUGUAAACCACUUUCGCCUGAGACGAAGCGUGAGUGACGGUAAUGGAUAAAGAAGCACCGGCUAACUACGUG
Molecule: ribosomal RNA, 468 nt
Filed under: uncultured bacterium
Lineage: Bacteria
Description: partial 16S ribosomal RNA
Rfam family: Bacterial small subunit ribosomal RNA
Source: RNAcentral